AUAUUGGACAAUGGGGGAAACCCUGAUCCAGCAAUGCCGCGUGUGUGAAGAAGGCCUUAGGGUUGUAAAGCUCUUUCGCCCGCGAAGAUAAUGACGGUAGCGGGAGAAGAAGCCCCGGCUAACUCCGUGCCAGCAGCCGCGGUAAUACGGAGGGGGCUAGCGUUGUUCGGCAUUACUGGGCGUAAAGCGUACGUAGGCGGAUGCGCAAGUUGGGGGUGAAAUCCCGGGGCUCAACCUCGGAAUUGCCCUCAAAACUGCACGUCUUGAGACCGAGAGAGGUUAGGGGAAUUCCUAGUGUAGAGGUGAAAUUCGUAGAUAUUAGGAAGAACACCAGUGGCGAAGGCGCCUUACUGGCUCGGUACUGACGCUGAGGUACGAAAGCGUGGGGAGCAAACA
RNAcentral lists this ribosomal RNA (396 nucleotides) under uncultured bacterium. RNAcentral describes it as "bacterial SSU rRNA". It matches the Rfam family "Bacterial small subunit ribosomal RNA", at positions 361 to 774 of the family's 1533-position model. The record is from RNAcentral.